UAGGGAAUCUUCGGCAAUGGGGGCAACCCUGACCGAGCAACGCCGCGUGAGUGAAGAAGGUUUUCGGAUCGUAAAGCUCUGUUGUAAGUCAAGAACGAGUGUGAGAGUGGAAAGUUCACACUGUGACGGUAGCUUACCAGAAAGGGACGGCUAACUACGUGCCAGCAGCCGCGGUAAUACGUAGGUCCCGAGCGUUGUCCGGAUUUAUUGGGCGUAAAGCGAGCGCAGGCGGUUUGAUAAGUCUGAAGUUAAAGGCUGUGGCUCAACCAUAGUUCGCUUUGGAAACUGUCAAACUUGAGUGCAGAAGGGGAGAGUGGAAUUCCAUGUGUAGCGGUGAAAUGCGUAGAUAUAUGGAGGAACGCCGGUGGCGAAAGCGGCUCUCUGGUCUGUAACUGACGCUGAGGCUCGAAAGCGUGGGGAGCGAACAGGAUUAGAUACCCUGGUAGUCCACGCCGUAAACGAUGAGUGCUAGGUGUUGGAUCCUUUCCGGGAUUCAGUGCCGCAGCUAACGCAUUAAGCACUCCGCCUGGGGAGUACGACCGCAAGGUUG
RNAcentral lists this ribosomal RNA (550 nucleotides) under uncultured bacterium. Its description in RNAcentral is "bacterial SSU rRNA". It matches the Rfam family "Bacterial small subunit ribosomal RNA", at positions 355 to 896 of the family's 1533-position model. The record is from RNAcentral.